UGAGGCAGGAGAAGUGUGCAGUGGCUGCCAUCAGCUUCACAGUGCUGAGACUACCCCUCCCCCGCAGCCAGGGAAGCCCUUGCACGGCAAGAGGCUGGGCCAGGCUGAUGUGCUCCACAUGGCAGGUGUGGGGGGCUGUGUCCUGUGGGGGGACUCCCACCACCACCCAGGACUGGUAGGCCUUGGCCCGCUGCACAUAGACUGCUUCUCUCUCCCACGUCUGCUUCACGUUCUGAGCUGCGGGGUCCAAGGGGA
Condylura cristata (star-nosed mole) is the source of this 255-nucleotide long non-coding RNA. RefSeq lists it as uncharacterized. The record is from RefSeq and is a predicted model, not a curated record. The transcript is spliced from 3 exons. Lineage: Eukaryota; Metazoa; Chordata; Mammalia; Eulipotyphla; Talpidae.